This 226-nucleotide ribosomal RNA is filed under the name uncultured bacterium. RNAcentral describes it as "partial 16S ribosomal RNA". It matches the Rfam family "Bacterial small subunit ribosomal RNA", at positions 15 to 231 of the family's 1533-position model. The record is from RNAcentral.
GAUCCUGGCUCAGGAUGAACGCUAGCUACAGGCUUAACACAUGCAAGUCGAGGGGCAGCAUGGUCUUAGCUUGCUAAGACUGAUGGCGACCGGCGCACGGGUGAGUAACACGUAUCCAACCUGCCGUCUACUCUUGGACAGCCUUCUGAAAGGAAGAUUAAUACAAGAUGGCAUCAUGAGUCCGCAUGUUCACAUGAUUAAAGGUACUUCCGGUGGACGAGUGGGG